This 194-nucleotide non-coding RNA is filed under the name Photobacterium sp. Its description in RNAcentral is "FMN sequence". It matches the Rfam family "FMN riboswitch aptamer (RFN element)". From Rfam's summary of the family: The RFN element is a highly conserved domain that is found frequently in the 5'-untranslated regions of prokaryotic mRNAs that encode for flavin mononucleotide (FMN) biosynthesis and transport proteins. This element is a metabolite-dependent riboswitch that directly binds FMN in the absence of proteins. RNAcentral also lists the same sequence under 1 other name. The record is from RNAcentral. Lineage: Bacteria; Pseudomonadati; Pseudomonadota; Gammaproteobacteria; Vibrionales; Vibrionaceae.
UCGAAUUCUCAGGGCGGGGCGAAAUUCCCCACCGGCGGUAGUUCAAACAGCAGAGUCUGCCAUUUGAAAAGCCCGCGAGCGCUUAAAAGGUUUGUUACGCAACCAACCUUUUAAGGUCAGCAGAUCUGGUCCAGUACUUACUAUAAGUAUCAAUCCAGAGCCGACGGUUAUAGUCCGGAUGAAAGAGAAUCGGU